This is a long non-coding RNA of Lotus japonicus, 899 nucleotides long. RefSeq lists it as uncharacterized. Lineage: Eukaryota; Viridiplantae; Streptophyta; Magnoliopsida; Fabales; Fabaceae. The record is from RefSeq and is a predicted model, not a curated record. The transcript is spliced from 4 exons.
AGACUAAUUGAAGUAAUUAUUUUAAUUUAAUGAUGUCAAGUUAGUACUAUUUGGUUUUGGUGACAAGUAGUUGUUUGUUCUUUUAGAGACUGAGGCUGCACAUAGCUGGACCUGCAUGGAUUUGUAUGUUUUUGCAAUCUUGUUGUUGCUGAUCGAUCAUUAUUGUUAUUGUAUUGAACAGGUGAAGCAGCAUGGGGUUUCUGUGUUUCUCUGAUUGAUGUUUUGCCUCUGUUCGCUAACAAUGCAUGGGGUCAGAAAGCCAACCUGGAUGUUCAUUCAGGAGACUUCUUAGCUGUGUCAAAAAUCCUAGGUAGGUGGGGUGGUUUUGAGACACUAGAAAAGUGGGUAACCGGUUCCUUCGCCGGUCAUACUGCAGUUUGUUUGUUUGAAAGAUGGUAUGGGUAAUUUAUGGGUUGGCGAAUCAGGGCAUGAGAAUGAAGAGGGUGAAGAAAUAAUAGUGGUAAUUCCGUGGGAAGAGUGGUGGGAAUUGGCUCUUAAAGAUAGUUCCAAUCCACAGAUAGCCUGCCCUUACUUCCCCUGCAUCCAGACUUGCGUGCAAAAUUUAACUCCACUGCAGCUGGAUUCACACUGUAGCUGACAACUAUCCUCCACCUCUUGAUGCUCACUUGGUAAUUUCUGUCAUGUCUAUGUGGACUAGAUUGCAGCCCGCUUAUUCUGCAAAUAUGUGGAAUGAAGCAUUGAAUAAGCGGUUAGGGACUGAGGCCUUUAAUUGAAGAGUUAGCUAGGAAGGAAUCAGUUCGGGUCACUUUAUCACCUACUGUGCAGCAAGAGGCUCUUAAUGUGUGGAUUCAGAAAAAACUUUUCAUAGCAAAGCACAAACUCAUCUCCCCUGCUAUUUAGUUUGGCAUACCUAUGUAUUUAUUAAGUUUGAACUCUAG